This 792-nucleotide ribosomal RNA is filed under the name Pedobacter trunci. Its description in RNAcentral is "bacterial SSU rRNA". It matches the Rfam family "Bacterial small subunit ribosomal RNA", at positions 91 to 884 of the family's 1533-position model. The record is from RNAcentral. Lineage: Bacteria; Pseudomonadati; Bacteroidota; Sphingobacteriia; Sphingobacteriales; Sphingobacteriaceae.
GAAAGUGGCGCACGGGUGCGUAACGCGUAUGCAACCUACCUUAAUCAGGGGGAUAGCCCGAAGAAAUUCGGAUUAACACCGCAUAAAAACACAGGAUAGCAUUAUCCAAUGUUCAAAUAUUUAUAGGAUUAAGAUGGGCAUGCGUGUCAUUAGCUAGUUGGCGGGGUAACGGCCCACCAAGGCGACGAUGACUAGGGGAUCUGAGAGGAUGACCCCCCACACUGGUACUGAGACACGGACCAGACUCCUACGGGAGGCAGCAGUAAGGAAUAUUGGUCAAUGGAGGCAACUCUGAACCAGCCAUGCCGCGUGCAGGAAGACAGCCCUCUGGGUCGUAAACUGCUUUUAUUCGGGAAUAAACCUACAUACGUGUAUGUAGCUGAAUGUACCGAAGGAAUAAGGAUCGGCUAACUCCGUGCCAGCAGCCGCGGUAAUACGGAGGAUCCAAGCGUUAUCCGGAUUUAUUGGGUUUAAAGGGUGCGUAGGCGGCCUGUUAAGUCAGGGGUGAAAGACGGUGGCUCAACUAUCGCAGUGCCCUUGAUACUGAUGAGCUUGAAUGCACUAGAGGUAGGCGGAAUGUGACAAGUAGCGGUGAAAUGCAUAGAUAUGUCACAGAACACCGAUUGCGAAGGCAGCUUACUAUGGUGUGAUUGACGCUGAGGCACGAAAGCGUGGGGAUCAAACAGGAUUAGAUACCCUGGUAGUCCACGCCCUAAACGAUGAAUACUCGCUGUUAGCGAUAUACAGUUAGCGGCUAAGCGAAAGCGUUAAGUAUUCCACCUGGGGAGUACG